AUUGAACGCUGGCGGCAUGCCUUACACAUGCAAGUCGAACGGCAGCUGGCCCUUCGGGGUGCCGUCGAGUGGCGAACGGGUGAGUAAUGCAUCGGAACGUACCCGGGAGAUGUGUAUAACCGGCCGAAAGGCUGGCUAAUACCGCAUGAACUCGGAAGAGCAAAGCGGGGGACCUUCGGGCCUCGCGCCCUCGGAGCGGCCGAUGUCCGAUUAGGCUAGUUGGUGGGGUAAAGGCCCACCAAGGCGACGAUCGGUAGCGGGUCUGAGAGGACGAUCAGCCACACUGGGACUGAGACACGGCCCAGACUCCUACGGGAGGCAGCAGUGGGGAAUCUUGGACAAUGGGCGCAAGCCUGAUCCAGCAAUGCCGCGUGGGUGAAGAAGGCCUUCGGGUUGUAAAGCCCUUUUGGUGGGGAAGAAAUCGGUCAGGCGAAUAGUCUGGCUGGAUGACGGUACCCGAAGAAGAAGCACCGGCUAACUACGUG
RNAcentral lists this ribosomal RNA (485 nucleotides) under uncultured bacterium. Its description in RNAcentral is "partial 16S ribosomal RNA". It matches the Rfam family "Bacterial small subunit ribosomal RNA", at positions 29 to 507 of the family's 1533-position model. The record is from RNAcentral.